AUGUGCGUGUUAUGAAAAAUAUGCGCGGGUGAUAAAGUUUAUAAGUGGUAUUUUUAAACUGCAUUAUGCAUAAAAUAAAUUCGAUGUGUAACGACAUUCGCACCAUCGCGCGAUUUUCAACCGAUCUUCAGGAUCUCCAGGCGAAACAAACAACAGUAGAAUAAUCUCCGGCAAAAUCAAUUCCCAUUAUAAAAGAUUAAAUUGUGGAUCGCACCAAUGACGGGAAGACGACUAAGUUGGAGGUCAUUCGGCUGGACCAAAGCUUUCGACCGGAUAUUUAACAGCUGCUGUGUAGCAUCCGAGGAAACAUCUUGGAUGAAUUUCUACCCAUAGUCCGGAAUCAACACGGUUCCCUCAACGGUUGCACAGAGUGUAAUACUCAACGAAAGACGUGUUCAUGGGAGACGUAGAGUCUAUUUUCUUUAUAUAAAAAACGGAAGCCACAAUACGCAGUGAUGGCGAUAAAACUAGUUAUUAUACGAUCAAUAAAAUGAUAAAUUAACCCAAUAUCUUUUAGAACAUGAUUCAUUUGAUUGUUUACUUCCAAA
Long non-coding RNA from Armigeres subalbatus, 548 nucleotides. RefSeq lists it as uncharacterized. NCBI's taxonomy places the organism in Eukaryota, Metazoa, Arthropoda, Insecta, Diptera, Culicidae. The record is from RefSeq and is a predicted model, not a curated record. The transcript has 3 exons.